RNAcentral lists this ribosomal RNA (495 nucleotides) under uncultured bacterium. RNAcentral's name for it is "partial 16S ribosomal RNA". It matches the Rfam family "Bacterial small subunit ribosomal RNA", at positions 28 to 507 of the family's 1533-position model. The record is from RNAcentral.
GACGAACGCUGGCGGCGUGCCUAAUACAUGCAAGUAGAACGCUGAAGGAGGAGCUUGCUUCUCUGGAUGAGUUGCGAACGGGUGAGUAACGCGUAGGUAACCUGCCUGGUAGCGGGGGAUAACUAUUGGAAACGAUAGCUAAUACCGCAUAAGAGUAGAUGUCGCAUGACAUUUGCUUAAAAGGUGCAAUUGCAUCACUACCAGAUGGACCUGCGUUGUAUUAGCUAGUUGGUGAGGUAACGGCUCACCAAGGCAACGAUACAUAGCCGACCUGAGAGGGUGAUCGGCCACACUGGGACUGAGACACGGCCCAGACUCCUACGGGAGGCAGCAGUAGGGAAUCUUCGGCAAUGGACGGAAGUCUGACCGAGCAACGUCGCGUGAGUGAAGAAGGUUUUCGGAUCGUAAAGCUCUGUUGUAAGAGAAGAACGAGUGUGAGAGUGGAAAGUUCACACUGUGACGGUAUCUUACCAGAAAGGGACGGCUAACUACGUG